CUUUUUAUAGGUUAAAAAAACCGGGAGCCUGUGGAGCUUCAGAUCUAUCCUUAGUAAAAAGC
Molecule: transfer RNA, 62 nt
Filed under: Onchidium reevesii
Lineage: Eukaryota; Metazoa; Mollusca; Gastropoda; Systellommatophora; Onchidiidae
Description: tRNA-His
Source: RNAcentral